RNAcentral lists this ribosomal RNA (301 nucleotides) under uncultured bacterium. Its description in RNAcentral is "partial 16S ribosomal RNA". It matches the Rfam family "Bacterial small subunit ribosomal RNA", at positions 509 to 809 of the family's 1533-position model. The record is from RNAcentral.
CAGUAGCCACGGGAAUACAGAGGGUGCGAGCGUUAAUCGGAUUUACUGGGCGUAAAGCGUGCGUAGGCGGCUUCUUAAGUCGGAUGUGAAAUCCCUGAGCUUAACUUAGGAAUUGCAUUCGAUACUGGGAAGCUAGAGUGUGGGAGAGGAUGGUAGAAUUCCAGGUGUAGCGGUGAAAUGCGUAGAGAUCUGGAGGAAUACCGAUGGCGAAGGCAGCCAUCUGGCCUAACACUGACGCUGAGGUACGAAAGCAUGGGGAGCAAACAGGAUUAGAUACCCCGGUAGUCCCUGUCUCUUAUAA